Molecule: ribosomal RNA, 417 nt
Filed under: Escherichia coli
Lineage: Bacteria; Pseudomonadati; Pseudomonadota; Gammaproteobacteria; Enterobacterales; Enterobacteriaceae
Description: bacterial SSU rRNA
Rfam family: Bacterial small subunit ribosomal RNA
Source: RNAcentral
AACCUGGGAACUGCAUCUGAUACUGGCAAGCUUGAGUCUCGUAGAGGGGGGUAGAAUUCCAGGUGUAGCGGUGAAAUGCGUAGAGAUCUGGAGGAAUACCGGUGGCGAAGGCGGCCCCCUGGACGAAGACUGACGCUCAGGUGCGAAAGCGUGGGGAGCAAACAGGAUUAGAUACCCUGGUAGUCCACGCCGUAAACGAUGUCGACUUGGAGGUUGUGCCCUUGAGGCGUGGCUUCCGGAGCUAACGCGUUAAGUCGACCGCCUGGGGAGUACGGCCGCAAGGUUAAAACUCAAAUGAAUUGACGGGGGCCCGCACAAGCGGUGGAGCAUGUGGUUUAAUUCGAUGCAACGCGAAGAACCUUACCUGGUCUUGACAUCCACAGAACCUUGUAGAGAUACGAGGGUGCCUUCGGGAAC